This 495-nucleotide ribosomal RNA is filed under the name Salmonella enterica subsp. enterica serovar Infantis. RNAcentral's name for it is "bacterial SSU rRNA". It matches the Rfam family "Bacterial small subunit ribosomal RNA", at positions 1020 to 1515 of the family's 1533-position model. The record is from RNAcentral. RNAcentral also lists the same sequence under 2 other names. Lineage: Bacteria; Pseudomonadati; Pseudomonadota; Gammaproteobacteria; Enterobacterales; Enterobacteriaceae.
UCGGGAACUGUGAGACAGGUGCUGCAUGGCUGUCGUCAGCUCGUGUUGUGAAAUGUUGGGUUAAGUCCCGCAACGAGCGCAACCCUUAUCCUUUGUUGCCAGCGGUCCGGCCGGGAACUCAAAGGAGACUGCCAGUGAUAAACUGGAGGAAGGUGGGGAUGACGUCAAGUCAUCAUGGCCCUUACGACCAGGGCUACACACGUGCUACAAUGGCGCAUACAAAGAGAAGCGACCUCGCGAGAGCAAGCGGACCUCAUAAAGUGCGUCGUAGUCCGGAUUGGAGUCUGCAACUCGACUCCAUGAAGUCGGAAUCGCUAGUAAUCGUGGAUCAGAAUGCCACGGUGAAUACGUUCCCGGGCCUUGUACACACCGCCCGUCACACCAUGGGAGUGGGUUGCAAAAGAAGUAGGUAGCUUAACCUUCGGGAGGGCGCUUACCACUUUGUGAUUCAUGACUGGGGUGAAGUCGUAACAAGGUAACCGUAGGGGAACCUGC